UGUAAUUUGGUUUUCAUUUUGUUUGUUGUUCAAUGAUGUGUGUUGAUGUUAAUUGUCCUUGUUUUUCUUUUCUACUCACUAUUGAUUUAGAUGUGGGUGUAAAAUGCAUACCAAGUGCUUGAUGGAAUGCUUAAACCUUCAACUCAUUCACCAAAACGAAGACCAGAAGAUUAUGAAGACGUCAAAGACCACCAAUCACCAAUUGAAGCCAAGCUAAUGCCCGUAAAACAUAAGUUUGUACAAAUGCAAGACUAUAUUGGAGAUAUAUAAUGAUGCUCAGGCUGUUGGGUUAAUCGGGUUUUGUUUGCAGGUCACGGGUCGGCACGUUAUCGGGUCAUGGUUCAAAUGGUUAUUCGUUUAUAGUUCACGGGUAUGGGUCAGUCGAUCACGGGUCAAGUAGCUAAAUUAUCCAGGGGUAAAUGGGUCUUUUGACCAUGUAAAUGGAUGUGACUUCGUGAGAUUGUUGAAGCCUUUUGCAACAAGUUUUGACCAAGUUAUGUGGACGUGAUACAAAUCUUGAAGAAUCAUGUACAAAUGAAGCAAGCCAUUUUAGAGGGGGGAAACUUGGACAUUGUCCAAAGUUUUAAGACACUUUGAGGGCAAUCUAGACAUUUCAUCCAUAGAA
Long non-coding RNA from Helianthus annuus (common sunflower), 625 nucleotides. RefSeq lists it as uncharacterized. The transcript is spliced from 3 exons. NCBI's taxonomy places the organism in Eukaryota, Viridiplantae, Streptophyta, Magnoliopsida, Asterales, Asteraceae. The record is from RefSeq and is a predicted model, not a curated record.